UAUUGAUUGUAAUUUUUCUUUAAAGUUUUUUAUCGAUUUCAUCGUUUCCAAUAGACAAGCAGACGAAUUUGUGACAUUAGAACGAAAGAUUCGAUACGUGUUAAGCGGGAGCUAAUAAAUGUUCGCGUUCCGUUUUAAUCAUUCUUUUGGCUACUCGUUAACCCCCAGAAAUUUGAAAUUUUUUAAUAACAAACCUGAAGGGCACUCUUUUUCACGACACACGAUUGUUUGAAGGUUUAUUUUCACUAGACAUAGAUAGUCAUUUGAAUGGUGCAGUUCCUAUCCUCAGCCCUACAGUGUGCAAAAAUAGAUUGUGGAAAAAACUGCCCAUGCUGAAUCUGCACAAUGCUGGCUUCAUGACUACACAGCAUUAAAAGACUCUUCCCUUAAGGAAGUAGCUGUGGACUUUCUUUAGAUGACUCUUGUAUCAGAAAUAUUUUCCUGCUUCUUGGAACAAGGAACAUAGGAUGCCUUGAUGCCAAUGAAGUGUCAUUGGAAAGAUUGUAAAAAAAUGUUAAGCAGGAGAAACCUAAAGUUGGAGGAUGAUACAUUUGUUUCCCAUUACUAGUUUUGUAAAACAAAUGGUAAAUUGGUAAAAAAAAACAUGUCACCUAUUACUUUAAAUAAAUUGUUUUCAAAAGUGGAGAUUAAUUCCAAAUCUUCAGCUUCCCAGGCAGACACCCAUCCACAAAGCCAUGGGUGAUAGAUGAUAUUCACAGCGGCACGACUGCGUUGUAAAUUGGAAUCACUUUUAUAAAGCCAAACAGGUAUAACAAAAAUAGCAUUUAAAAAUUUUUUUGUAUAGAAUUAUGAUGACUCGGCUAUUAAGUAAUGAAAUCGAAUUUUUAAGUUUUGUUACGUUUGAAAGUUACCCAAGAUUAUCGUAUCUCAUUGUUAUUCAUCAUAUAUGUCUGUGUAAUUCAUUGCUGGGAAACUAUAUUACAUGGACUUGUUGUGUCAGUGUUAUAAUACUAUGUGUUGAAACAUGUUUUACUGCCUGUCCUCCGUGAUUGGAGCAGCAAUGUGCCUAACUGACCUGAGGAAAUGAAACAACUGUUGCGUCAUCUAGCGGUCAAGAUUCAAACCUUUAGGAAACCCCACUCACUGGAGGAGGAGUUAAAUUUUCGGUUGCUAGUUGUUGAUUAUUUUCAGCAAAAAAAUAAUAAUAAAUGGCACUACACGAGGUGCUGAAAAAAAGGGAGAUUGGAAAUGACAAAGAAAUGAGUUCUGUUCUUCGCCUCAUUUUUGCCUCAUCGUCAUCAAGCUGAUCGUCUUCGCUUCGCCAUCCUCGCUUCACCGUCCUCGCUUCACCGUCUUCACCUCGCCGUCUUCACCUCGCCACACCGUCUUCGCUUUGCCUUCUUCAAAUUGAUCGUCUUCGCCUCGCCGUCUUCGCCUCGCCGUCUUCGCCUCGCCGUCUUCGCCUCGCCGUCUUCGCCUCGCCGUCUUCGCCUCGCCGUCUUCGACUCGCCGUCUUCGACUCGCCGUCUUCGACUCGCCGUCUUCGCCUCAUCGUCUUCGAUCGCGCCCGUCUUCGUCUCAUCGCUGUCAUCGUGGAAACUCGCGUUUUUGGUAGUUUGUUUUGUUUUGUUUUGUAUUGGUGUAUAGUGUAUGUUUAAAGUUAACCCGUUGGCUGCCACCCAUUUUGCUCCCCUUUUUUUUUAGGUGUAGGGACCGGCGGCGCUGUUCUGCCUCAUGGUUGAUCACCCAUGGGGUGGGGCAGUCGCCUUGCGCCUUAGGGCGCCGUAGGCAAUGCACCAGUAGGGACUUCCCCUUGUCGAUGCGAUGGUGGAGUACCUGGGGUGUGCAUUCCCGUAAAGGUCUCCAUCGUCAAGUCAGCCCGGACUUGUCUUCGGACAAGUCCCCCUUUCAUCGGAUCCCUCUGAAACGAUGCGUAGUAACUGUA
This is a long non-coding RNA of Daphnia magna, 1906 nucleotides long. RefSeq lists it as uncharacterized. The record is from RefSeq and is a predicted model, not a curated record. The transcript has 5 exons. NCBI's taxonomy places the organism in Eukaryota, Metazoa, Arthropoda, Branchiopoda, Diplostraca, Daphniidae.